GACGUAGGGCGCGAGCGUUGUCCGGAUUUACUGGGCGUAAAGCGUGCGCAGGCGGUUCUCCAAGUCCGUUGUGAAAGCCCCGGGCUCAACCUGGGAAUGGCAGUGGAAACUAGGGGACUUGAAUCUGGCAGAGGGGGGUGGAAUUCCACGUGUAGCAGUGAAAUGCGUAGAGAUGUGGAGGAACACCGAUGGCGAAGGCAGCCCCCUGGGCUGAGAUUGACGCUCAGGCACGAAAGCGUGGGGAGCAAACAGG
This 253-nucleotide ribosomal RNA is filed under the name uncultured bacterium. Its description in RNAcentral is "partial 16S ribosomal RNA". It matches the Rfam family "Bacterial small subunit ribosomal RNA", at positions 524 to 776 of the family's 1533-position model. The record is from RNAcentral.